UCAGGUGUGGGGAGAAGCUGUGGAAGCCGAGAGCUCCGUGUCAGAGGCCCCGGGGGUUUCCCCACAG
This 67-nucleotide microRNA precursor is filed under the name Mus caroli (Ryukyu mouse). RNAcentral's name for it is "microRNA 7003 (MGP_CAROLIEiJ_G0007772.1)". Lineage: Eukaryota; Metazoa; Chordata; Mammalia; Rodentia; Muridae. The record is from RNAcentral.